Nannospalax galili (Upper Galilee mountains blind mole rat) is the source of this 548-nucleotide long non-coding RNA. RefSeq lists it as uncharacterized. The record is from RefSeq and is a predicted model, not a curated record. The transcript has 4 exons. NCBI's taxonomy places the organism in Eukaryota, Metazoa, Chordata, Mammalia, Rodentia, Spalacidae.
UCCUGAGGGUCAAACUAGGAGAGAGGUUCGUUAAGAAAGAAAUUGAACCGGAAUAGAAAUCCCUGAGGUUUGGAGAUAGCUACAUGGCCUAAAUUCCAGUAUUUGUGUGUCUCGCUGUAUUCUGAAACGAUUCCCUACAUUUCUUAUGGAGAAAGUAAGGCAGCGAGAAGUUCAGAAGCACUCCUGAACUUAACACAUCCAGCCUACAUUAUCUGGUCGUUGAUUUGUCUUUCUGUGGCGGAAGCUGAUCAUCUUUUCAUGAAUUUGAAGGUAACUGUGGAGGUGUGGUAACAAGAUGGUGCCGAGCAGCUGAGGUGAAGGCAGAGCCAGCUGGCCAGCUUGGCUGCACCACAAAAAGAGGAAGUAAUACUGGUUGGAGCCUAGCCAGUAAAGGACGUGUGAUUACCUCGUGAACAAUAUAUUAUACUAUGAGAAGAGCCUGCAUGGCAUAUGUGACCUCUAAGCUGAUCAGAUGAUGGCUUUCCCGCCUAUGCUAAUACCUGUGGCUUUUGCUCUUAAAUAUUGAUCAGCCUUGCCAGUAAAUGAGU